AUGGCGCGGGAGCCGGGGUCGAGUUGCAGGCCAGGAGAUCGGUGCACGAGGAGCUCUUCUCCUGACACGAUGCGUGCGCGUUUGAGACUAAGAAAAGAAGAGAAGAAUGGCUUGAGCAAAGGGCGGGUUCUUCAAACAAUUCUGCAAAUAAGAAAGCAUGGUUGGAAGACCCAAGUACCAGCAAAAAUAAGGGUGUUUCUAUGGCGCCUAGCUCAACAGUCCCUGCCCACGGAGGACAUCAGGACGCACUGGAAUAUGGCGACUAGUUGUUCUUGCUGUAUCCAUCUUCUCUUGAAGCAGUGGCUUGUCGAGAAGCUCUUUCUCUCGCAGAAGAUCUUGGACUACAAUAACUUCAUAUUGCAUCGGAUUAACAAAGGGAGUACAUCAUGUAUGAACCAUGUGACGAACGGAACUACCCAACGUUUUCACCCGUUGAUCGAGUCGAGGGCGGCCGAGACGUACGCGCCCGGGCUACCGAGCCGUAACCUGUGUGGACGACUGCACGUUUCCGUUUCGACAAGAGGGAAGAAAAACCUGCGAACGGACGGCUCACGAGUCGCGGGUCCCGGUCCAGCAGGGAGUCUUCCUAGCCCGAGCGAGCGAGCGGUGCCACGCGGCCGCGGCAGGGCACGGUGGCAAGCCGCCAAAAUAGGCAUCCCGGUCUCGCGAGAACCAGCCACCCACAUCACAGCCAAGAAGCGGCGGCGAGGGCGAGCGGGCGAUAAAAUCGCGGCCUCUCUCCUCUCGGCUUCGAUUCCCAUCUUCGCCUCGCCAACUCCAACUCUCUCUCUCUCGCUUCCUCGGCAACAGGACGAACAACUCUGGUACGAACCACCUCACCUCCUUCCCUCGCGACGCUUUUUCCUUCUUUCUCGCGCCGCCGCCUCGUGGAUGUCCGACAAUGCCGUGUUCCGUCCGGGGUUUCGCUUCUUGGCGGCUGCGUCCAUCGGUCUGACGAGAUUGAGUAGCCCUGCUCCCGAUUCAGCCAUCUCUGUCGUCCUGCCUGUACGUCGCGCCGGCUUUAGAUUCUUCCAAGGGUUUCUUCUUCUUUCUUGCGGCGCUUUUAAGGUUGUUCUUGGCGGAGACUCGUUGCCGUUUGGCUGCUGGAACGGACACGCGGAUUCGCUAGGAAUAGAUGCAAUUUUCAGAGAUGUCUCGAUUAGGCUGGGCCGAUGGGGUGACCCUUCCGGGGUGGUUCGUGUGGACAUAGGAGAAGAGAAUCAAGACCACUUGGAUCUUCAACUGUUGUCUCUGAACUUCCAUCAUAUCUGUUUCCUUUUUUGGGGAUGGAACAGUUCUCUCUCCCCCAUAUUCUGA
This 1317-nucleotide ribosomal RNA is filed under the name Triticum aestivum (bread wheat). RNAcentral describes it as "partial small subunit ribosomal RNA". Lineage: Eukaryota; Viridiplantae; Streptophyta; Magnoliopsida; Poales; Poaceae. The record is from RNAcentral.